This 497-nucleotide ribosomal RNA is filed under the name uncultured bacterium. RNAcentral's name for it is "partial 16S ribosomal RNA". It matches the Rfam family "Bacterial small subunit ribosomal RNA", at positions 28 to 507 of the family's 1533-position model. The record is from RNAcentral.
GAUGAACGCUGGCGGCGUGCCUAAUACAUGCAAGUCGAGCGAACAGACGAGGAGCUUGCUCCUCUGACGUUAGCGGCGGACGGGUGAGUAACACGUGGAUAACCUACCUAUAAGACUGGGAUAACUUCAGGAAACCGGAGCUAAUACCGGAUAAUAUAUUGAACCGCAUGGUUCAAUAGUGAAAGACGGUUUUGCUGUCACUUAUAGAUGGAUCCGCGCCGCAUUAGCUAGUUGGUAAGGUAACGGCUUACCAAGGCGACGAUGCGUAGCCGACCUGAGAGGGUGAUCGGACACACUGGAACUGAGACACGGUCCAGACUCCUACGGGAGGCAGCAGUAGGGAAUCUUCCGCAAUGGGCGAAAGCCUGACGGAGCAACGCCGCGUGAGUGAUGAAGGUCUUCGGAUCGUAAAACUCUGUUAUUAGGGAAGAACAAAUGUGUAAGUAACUAUGCACGUCUUGACGGUACCUAAUCAGAAAGCCACGGCUAACUACGUG